CCUGUGUGUGUCAUCAACUCAUCAUGCGUCACGCUGCCAGUAUUUAUAAAAUUACGAUUCUUAUAUUAAACAAGCUUAUUAAUGAAUUUUUCCCCUUUUUGGAUAUUAUUGGAACUGUAAAUGAAUCUAAAAGUUUGUUUCUUAUGGGGAACAUCGCGUGAUAACGGUCAUGAUCCUUGUUUGUUGACAGAAACCCUCCAUGUGAGGGCAUGUGUGUAGAUGCAAAGUAUGCUGGCGAGGUUCAAGUGACCUACAUUUAGAGGGUAAUGCAUCCAACAGCUGUUGCUGACCGAUAAAAUGUAAAAGAUUGAAAGCGAAAAGGAUGAUGAAGCUUUCGAGGAGAGCAGUGUAGCCAAGGGAAGAGACCGAGGGGACGUAACAUUCAUAAUCGUCCCCAAACGGCCAGCAGGCUUUCGGGGCGGUGUUUUUCCUCAUGGAGAGGAAAACCGAGGAAAGGAACAGAAAGGUGAAGAAUAUCAUCUUUGACUUUGAAAUGGAGCCAAGCAUGUAUUUGCAGGCGUCUGGUACAUAGGAUGUUGACUCCAGUCCUGGCAGGAUAGGGUCGUUGGCCCCACGCCCAACCCCCAACCUGGUGGACCAGGUAAUUUUUUCGGGUGUUCUUCCCUAGCCUUUGGCAGCCCAAUGCCGAACUACAAGGCAGCAGCUGCUGGUUUUGUUCCGCGCCGGGUAUUUGAUUUCCCCGGUACCCCCUAUAUCUAGGAGGCAUUCCCCAAUCCGCCACCUGGGAAGGCGCCCGAUGGGUGAUCAGCAACUCCACACGGGAGACCUGUAGCCACAACCUACAACAUUAUAAAGGGCAAAAAAACUCCUGGACCCAUAAAAAGUAUUACUCGCCGUAGAGAUGGCAGUGAAAGCGCAGCUACAGCAGUAAUAAUUGGCAGUUGAUUACAUCAACAGUAAUUGCCAUUGAAGCAUCAUCAUCUGUGGUGUAGUUGUGUGCGUCAUCAUCAUCAUCAUCAGCGUCAUCAGUGAGUGUAGUUGUAACUGAAGCGCCACUACAGUAUUUUCAUCAUCAAUCAUCGAUUAUUGGAACUAAAACCAGCACAAAGAAGUGAAAUGGGUUUAAUCGCGAAAGCCUUAUUUUAUAUAGGAUUAAUUAGCGAUGAAGAAAUGCGUCAAAUCUCACGCCUUACACGAUGUCGUCUGCGCCUCACACUUGGUUAUCGAAUAUUCAACAUCUAUCUUCAAGCUUCAAUAUGCAUCUCCUUCAAGUUUGUUGAUAACUAGUCUAUAACUAUUUCUUUAUGUAUUUUUUAUAACUAUUUUAGAUUUAGAAAAGAAUUUUUCCUAGUAAUAUUAUGAUGAAUCAUCAGCUCUUAUCAAUCUCU
Long non-coding RNA from Nilaparvata lugens (brown planthopper), 1349 nucleotides. RefSeq lists it as uncharacterized. The transcript is spliced from 9 exons. NCBI's taxonomy places the organism in Eukaryota, Metazoa, Arthropoda, Insecta, Hemiptera, Delphacidae. The record is from RefSeq and is a predicted model, not a curated record.